RNAcentral lists this ribosomal RNA (253 nucleotides) under uncultured bacterium. RNAcentral's name for it is "partial 16S ribosomal RNA". It matches the Rfam family "Bacterial small subunit ribosomal RNA", at positions 524 to 776 of the family's 1533-position model. The record is from RNAcentral.
UACGUAGGGUGCGAGCGUUAAUCGGAAUUACUGGGCGUAAAGCGUGCGCAGGCGGCGCGUUAAGACAGGUGUGAAAGCCCCGAGCUUAACUUGGGAAUUGCGCUUGUGACUGGCGUGCUGGAGUGUGGCAGAGGGAGGUGGAAUUCCACGUGUAGCAGCGAAAUGCGUAGAGAUGUGGAGGAACACCGAUGGCGAAGGCAGCCUCCUGGGCCAGCACUGACGCUCAUGCACGAAAGCGUGGGGAGCAAACAGG